This 253-nucleotide ribosomal RNA is filed under the name uncultured bacterium. Its description in RNAcentral is "partial 16S ribosomal RNA". It matches the Rfam family "Bacterial small subunit ribosomal RNA", at positions 524 to 776 of the family's 1533-position model. The record is from RNAcentral.
UACAGAGGGUGCGAGCGUUGUCCGGAAUCACUGGGCGUAAAGGGCGCGUAGGCGGCUUUUCACGCGUGCGGUGAAAGCCCGGGGCUUAACUCCGGGUCUGCCGUGCGAACGGGGAGGCUUGAGUCUGGUAGAGGUCGAUGGAAUUCCGGGUGUAGCGGUGGAAUGCGUAGAGAUCCGGAAGAACACCGGUGGCGGAGGCGGUCGCCUGGGCCAGAACUGACGCUGAGGCGCGACAGCGUGGGGAGCAAACAGG